AUUGAACGCUGGCGGCAUGCCUAACACAUGCAAGUCGAACGGAGGCAGCGAUGCCUCAGUGGCGGACGGGUGAGGAACGCGUAGGAAUCGACCCACGAGUGGGGGACAACCUGGGGAAACUCAGGCUAAUACCGCAUACGCUCGCGAGAGGAAAGCGGGGGACCUUCGGGCCUCGCGCUGGUGGACGAGCCUACGUCCGAUUAGCUGGUUGGUGGGGUAAAAGCCUACCAAGGCGACGAUCGGUAGCGGGUCUGAGAGGACGACCCGCCACACUGGGACUGAGACACGGCCCAGACUCCUACGGGAGGCAGCAGUGGGGAAUAUUGGACAAUGGGCGCAAGCCUGAUCCAGCAAUGCCGCGUGGGUGAAGACGGCCUGCGGGUUGUAAAGCCCUUUAGGCGGGAGGAACGGUCGGGUGCGAAGACCACCCGGCGCUGACGUUACCCGCAGAAUAAGCACCGGCUAACUCCGUGCCAGCAGCCGCGGUAAU
RNAcentral lists this ribosomal RNA (490 nucleotides) under uncultured bacterium. RNAcentral's name for it is "bacterial SSU rRNA". It matches the Rfam family "Bacterial small subunit ribosomal RNA", at positions 29 to 524 of the family's 1533-position model. The record is from RNAcentral.